ACACUCGCAUAUAUCGUGCCACUGUCAGUGGUCGGCAAGCUGAGGAACAGCAACCAGAGGAGUAUUCAAGUCUCAGAGAACACAAGGGUUCAACAGGUCCACACAGGUGGAAUUCAAGUACUUUAGUGUCCGGAAUGUCUUCAGGAACAGUGAUUUCGCCAGACGCAGCCAAGAUCCUUAUCAGGUCAUGGAGGAGGGGAACUGGAACUUCUGUGCCAUAUAGAAGUGGUGAAAGACAAUGAUUUCUAUCAUCCAUCUCUGAGAGGUGCUACAUUUCUUACCAUCCUUAGUUGAUCAAGGUCUUGGUAAGUUCCGUUCAUACAGCCAGAUGUGCCAUAUCGAGUAUUUGGAUUGAUAAUCAACCUUAUGGGUUUCAUCCUAUUCUAUGUAGCUUUUAUGCAGGGAUAUUUCCAGGAGAAAACACCUAAGUCACAUUAUCCAGCGAUUUUUGAAUGAUCUUGGAAAAGUCUCAACAUGUCAUUGUUCCUUAAGAGAUUAAACAUUGAAACUUAUUUUGUUACUUCAAUAGUGACAACCUUCAACCUUACACAUGUUAAGUCUUGAAAAUGUCUGUAGGAAAUUCAGACAUUACUUUUCAAUUCCAAUGGCUAUUUAAGCAGUCUAGACCAGGAAGGUUAGCAAAACCUUGUACAUGUAUUUUAAGGAGUAUAUUCAAGGAAUUGUGUGGUUAAUAUACUACAAAGUAUGAGAUCACCCUAAAAUUUGAUAGUCAUAUAUAAACUUAAAUGAAGUCAUUUAUACUCUGAGGUACAUGCAACUUUUUGUGUGGUUAAUGAGCACUGUAGACGACAUGUUAUCAUAUGGUUAUAUUUGGGAUUACACUUUCUUAGUAAAGUACAAAUUCUAGUACUUUAUUUAAUCCCGGAUGGGACUCAACUUAAAAAAAAGUACCAGAAAUUGUACUUUACUAAGUGUAAUCCCAAAUAUAACAUAUGUUGCAUUUGACCACUUUCUUAAUGGCAUUGUGUAAUCAUGUAGUGAAGCAACUGAUUCAAUAUUCUUUGAGUUGGAGUGAAAUGUAACAUUGUCAAAAACAGCCUAAACAAGGGUGCUGAAACACACCAGCACCAUGUUUGAUUCAAACACCCAAACAUGAUUAACACUUUAUUGUCUCUUUUGACAAAAUCAUUGUCAUGGAUAUAUAUAUAUACUGAACAUUUGCCAAGGACCUCAUAAGAUGACUGUUUUGGUCCUUGGCAUAUGUUGGCAUAUAUUUUAACAGACAUUAAAAAGUCUGUUUUGAGUGCUAGUAAAAUGUUCUUACCUUACUGUUACUUCAAUGUUAAGUUUGCUGUAACUUGAGAUUCUUUGUCUUCGAGGCUCAUUUACAAUUCACUUUUCAACUCUGCAGAGCACACAGUUGAACUGUCCAGUCCUUACAAAUAACAGUAUCAGAAUGGGAGUUGGAAUCCAGCACAGUGAACUCUCGAUGACUAUCACAUCCGGUAUCACUUGGAUUCUUCAGUUUCUUCCCCGAAAUCAUUCCAGUCCUGGGUCCAGAUGUUGAAGGAAGCUCCUUGGGAGGGGAUGGACUGUGCUCAAGGAACUGACUUUUUGGUAGCUGGAAACAUGGCGUAGCACAGGUCAUAGGCUGAGCCAUCACAUAAAUUGAUGGCAAAAGGAAACUUUACCAUUUCAAACACUAAUUUACAAUUGGAUUAUUGAAGCCAAGGACAAGCCGAAAGCUUGCAAGUGAACUCAGAAUGUUCCCCUCAACUGGACACAUCGAUUUGUAAAGCCCUCCUUGAGCUGCCUGGUUGGUGGUCAACAUGUUUUUUUUCCAAGGAAGAUUGACAAAGUUGAGUGCUGGGUGUGUGGGUGGAGCAAAGCUGGCCAAGAAGAGGAACUUAACUGGAUGACUUUAUAGUCUUCACUGACCCUAUCUAGGGUUUUCGUUUGAACUUUGGAUUUGUAUUACCUUGGACCUUGGAUGUCCUCAUGUAGAUCGUCAUUACCAUCUGAUUAAAUGUUUUUCCUUUA
Long non-coding RNA from Haliotis rubra (blacklip abalone), 2001 nucleotides. RefSeq lists it as uncharacterized. The transcript has 4 exons. The record is from RefSeq and is a predicted model, not a curated record. NCBI's taxonomy places the organism in Eukaryota, Metazoa, Mollusca, Gastropoda, Lepetellida, Haliotidae.